GGGCCUGUAGUUUAAUGGAUAGAAUAAGCGGUUUCGGCCCGCUUGAUCGAGGUUCGAUUCCUCGUAGGCCCA
This 72-nucleotide transfer RNA is filed under the name Candidatus Pacearchaeota archaeon CG10_big_fil_rev_8_21_14_0_10_30_48. Its description in RNAcentral is "tRNA-Arg". It matches the Rfam family "tRNA". From Rfam's summary of the family: Transfer RNA (tRNA) molecules are approximately 80 nucleotides in length. Their secondary structure includes four short double-helical elements and three loops (D, anti-codon, and T loops). The record is from RNAcentral. Lineage: Archaea; Nanobdellati.